Molecule: ribosomal RNA, 441 nt
Filed under: uncultured cyanobacterium
Lineage: Bacteria; Bacillati; Cyanobacteriota
Description: bacterial SSU rRNA
Rfam family: Bacterial small subunit ribosomal RNA
Source: RNAcentral
AGAGUUUGAUCCUGGCUCAGGAUGAACGCUGGCGGUCUGCUUAACACAUGCAAGUCGAACGGGCUCUUCGGAGCUAGUGGCGGACGGGUGAGUAACGCGUGAGAAUCUGCCCUUAGGAUGGGGAUAACAGUUGGAAACGACUGCUAAUACCCAAUGUGCCGAGAGGUGAAAUCUAAUUGGCCUGAGGAUGAGCUCGCGUCUGAUUAGCUAGUUGGUAGUGUAAUGGACUACCAAGGCGACGAUCAGUAGCUGGUCUGAGAGGAUGAUCAGCCACACUGGGACUGAGACACCGCCCCCACUUCCUACGGGAGGCAGCAGUGGGGAAUUUUCCGCAAUGGGCGAAAGCCUGACGGAGCAAGACCGCGUGAGGGAGGAAGGCCUACUGGUUGUAAACCUCUUUUGACCGGGAAGAACACAAUGACGGACCGGUCGAAUCAGCCU